CCCCAGGUCAGGCGGGGCUACCCGCUGAAUUUAAGCAUAUCAAUAAGCGGAGGAAAAGAAACUUA
RNAcentral lists this ribosomal RNA (65 nucleotides) under Silene italica. RNAcentral describes it as "partial 26S ribosomal RNA". It matches the Rfam family "Eukaryotic large subunit ribosomal RNA", at positions 1 to 68 of the family's 3401-position model. The record is from RNAcentral. Lineage: Eukaryota; Viridiplantae; Streptophyta; Magnoliopsida; Caryophyllales; Caryophyllaceae.